UACGUAGGGAGCAAGCGUUGUCCGGAAUCAUUGGGCGUAAAGCGCGCGUAGGCGGUCCGAUAAGUCCGCUGUGAAAGUCAACGGCUCAACUGUUGGAUGCCGGUGGAUACUGUCGGGCUAGAGUACGGAAGAGGCAAGUGGAAUUCCUGGUGUAGCGGUGGAAUGCGCAGAUAUCAGGAGGAACACCUAUAGCGAAGGCAGCUUGCUGGGACGUUACUGACGCUAAGGCGCGAAAGCGUGGGGAGCAAACAGG
Molecule: ribosomal RNA, 253 nt
Filed under: uncultured bacterium
Lineage: Bacteria
Description: partial 16S ribosomal RNA
Rfam family: Bacterial small subunit ribosomal RNA
Source: RNAcentral